Molecule: long non-coding RNA, 4407 nt
Organism: Cairina moschata (Muscovy duck)
Lineage: Eukaryota; Metazoa; Chordata; Aves; Anseriformes; Anatidae
Source: Ensembl
AUUGGUAUUGAUGUAUCCUCCGGACAGUUAAUUCAAUAGCCAAGUGUAUUUGGGUAUGUAUGGCUGAUAGUAGAAAAAAAGACUGCAAUCUUCUUCAGGCUUCACUGUACAGAAAAAAAAAAAAAAAAAAAUUAAAAAAAAAUAAAAAGGGGAGGUUGUGUCACAUUUUUAAAGCCUGGCGUUUGAAAUACAUGUUGUACGCAAUUUGCACCAGCUACUGCCAUAAAUAACACUUCUCCCCUAGAAACUUAUUGUAGCUAAAGUUGGAACCCCAAACUUUCAGCUAUUUCCUUUACUUCUCUUCACUCUGACCUUCAGAGCCUUACAAAGGAUGUCUUCUGAAAACUUGUUUUUUUUCUCCUCUGAAACACUUUGUCAGAAUGAAAUCUAUCCGCUAGCUCUAUAAGUCAAGGCAGCUUUUACCAGUAUAGUUACUGCAUUGCUCAUCUAAUGGACUGCUGUGUAAGUGGGACGAUAUUCUAAAAUACUGGGCAUUUCCUGUUUUAUAAGUGAAGUGUGUUAGACACCACUCACUGUAUUUCCCAACUGUUGGUUUCUUUUAUAAUGAUAAUAGCAGCUUUAGAAAAGUUAUUUGCAGAUACUACUUUCUUUCUUUUUUUCUGUUUUUCUGUCACAGUCUUGCUCUGGCAUUACCAAUUUGGAAAGCAACUGCAGCCUAAAAAGCAAUCAUUUGCAAUGACAUUGGAACAUACAGAGAAUUUUAAAAGGUGCCUCUAUUGGAGAUUGCUAUGUUAAAAAAAAAAAAAAAAAAAAAAAAAACUGAAAUGAAAAGCCACUUACCUUUCUUUCAAAGUUUCACAACAAAUGCGUCCUUGACAAAUGUGUGGAGGGUAACUACAGAAGGAAAAGUUACCUUAGCAAAGCAAGAACUAAGCUGCUUGAAAUGAGCUAUAGCACUGCACUGCAAGUACUUGUGAGUGGAGUGGGGGAAUGGUGUUUAGAGCCAGCCAUUCCUUAUGGGCGAGUUCUCCUUGUGGUCCUCUGUAGAGCUAGGACCUUAAAAACAAGUGGAAAGGCAUCUGGGAAGAUGUGUCAGCCCAAUAACCAUUUCUGGGUCAAAAUCCUGAUUGCUAUCCCCUGGCCAGGGCAGCCUUUUGGAGCUGCACUAUCAGAGAAUGGGGUUGCAGGACCAGAGAACCACUACAAGGUUUCAAGUGUGAAUAUGAGACUUCCUGAAGAUAUGCCCUGCCUGCAGGUUCUUGGCUUCCUAGGCAAAAGUAUCCUCCCAUUCUUGAGAGGGGUUUUCCUAUUCUCAGGUACAGCUGUUUUUAAUGUGGUUGAAAUAUUAUGAAAGGCCCUUCACUCAAGCCAUCAGUGAACUUCCUCAGCAGGAGGCGUUUUCAUAUCUACGCACAAGAAGUGCCGUCCAAGUGGCCACGAUGAUGAUGGUGCUUUGUUAGCUGUCUGGCUCUCCUCUCCUGUGCCCCCCGGUCCCCCGACAGACACGCAAGUGUCCGUGUGCUCCUCUCCUCAUUGAAGUCCUCGCAGGCACAUCCUCUAACAAGCCGCGCUUUCUCUUGCCACGCCAACCUGUCAGGGGACGCGGUCACAGCCAGCAGCAGUGGCACUACAGGCUGUUAUUAAGCCGGGAUGAGCACAAAUAGACCCAGAGUCGGUCUGACAAUUUUACUUUUGUUUUAAGGGCCAGCAGGAAAAUUAAGGGGGAAAGGAUGGCGUAGAAAAACAGGAUAAUUUUUUGUCAGGACAUUGAAAUCAACUGGGUAUUUUUUGCAUGUUCGCAUUAUUUAUCUCCUUGCUUUUUGCUCAAUUGUGGGCUGAUUUAUAGGAGAAGAAUUUAAAAUAAAAAGGCAGUAAGUUCAAUAUAGCAAGAACCAGACAGGGACUAUUCAGCUGAUGAAGACUGCCCUCCUCUUGAGCUGUGGGGGCAAAUCUGCAUUUGCCAGGUGCAAACUGGGUUUCAUGCACAGGCCACCCCCACCCACGCACACUCAUGAAGGCCUGAUUUUCCAGCAAAUUUACUGCUUUCAGAAAGCAUCACAGCCUUUCCCUUGCCAGCCCUUCCAGUGUCCCAGCCCCACAGUGUGCAGACUGGAGGCACACGAGCCUCCAUCCUGCGCCCAGCAGCACUGUUAUGUGGCACUGCAGGGUCCCCUGGUUGCUCCUGUCCCCGGUGAGGUUUGUCUGGUAGAAAGACAUAGCCUUAUUGUCCUCAAAGCACAGCAGCAGUGGACCUGUGAUAACAGGAGCAUGAUAAAUAGACACUAAUGUGUCCUGCUAGACAGAAUAAUGAGAUUACAUACGAGCUGCCAUAUCAUAUCAAUUAAACCCUCAGCCCUUUUAGUUCAGCAAAUCCAUCCUGCUGCAGUAGUCAGUGCUUUGGGGAGAAGGGGUGGAGGGGGCAGCACUGCCUAAACACACAUCCUGCCCAAAAUAGCCCCGCUGCUGCUCACCCAGGCAGCAGGCAAGGCUCCCAGGAGCACCACGGCUCUGAGCACUGCCAGCUCUGGGGUCCUCGUCCCAAAAGGAGCGGGGUGGGAUGGUGCCAACCAGCUGCCUUGCAGGCUGCAGAGAUGCUGGAGCCAUCUGUGCCAGCAGACUAGGAAGCAUGGUCAUGUCCUUCUGUCCAGGUCCCCUGGCUCCAGCUGACGGCAGUGUUCAUCCCACUUGGGUGACAGUAUGCAGCAUCCUGAGUGAUCUCUCUGUGACAACUAAAGUGCACACAGUACAGGCUUGCCAGGCCCAGUGUCCCCUGUAAUGCAACUCUUUCCCAUGGCAGACACGACGCCUGCCUUGGGCAAACCUGGCACGUGAAGAGCCAGGAGGUAAAGCAAAGCACUCAGCAGAAAACAUCCUGAUCUUUCGCCCCAUUGCCCCGCUCUAUGGGACUGUCAUAUACUCAGGGGUGUGCAUCUCUAAUGGUGCAUCUGUGGGCUUAAUUAGAUGUAUUUUGGCUAUUCACUCAAAUUGUUAUGUAAUGUUGCUCAGACUCUGUUGUCAUGAGAUAGCCACACACGUACUUUGAGGAAUGGUUUAAAUAUAACCCACUGAAAUUUAUUUAUUUACUUAUUUAUUUAAUUUGGGCAAUAUAAAAUGCCAGGAGAUCAGGAAUGAUUUUUUUUUUCCAUCUGACCUGUUUUGGAUGAGCACAGUUGAGCUGCACUUACUGUCCCCCAGAUACUUACCCUAAGAACCGGGGGGGGGGGGGGGGGGGGGGGGGGAUGUAAAACCUUCCAGCUCUUUCUUCAAAUGCUUUCAGCACGUCUCUUGCCUAGAAAGGUUUAUCAGAUUGUUCCAAAAGCAUAAAAACAAAGCAAAUCCUGGUUCCCUAUCCAUUUCAAUACUAAGGCUGGAUUUACUAAUAUCUAAGAAGAUGUGAGCUCUAGGUGAUGUCUGCUCUUGGUGUCUCUUUCCCAUAUGAGUCCACCGGUGACAUCAGUAUAAUUUGCUGCAGCAAACCUCUGCAAACCAAGCCUUCUUGUCCCACCUGUUGUCAGCUUCCCACAACCUGGAAGGCCUGGGAAGGAAAUAACAAUGGAAAAAAAAAUAAUAAUAAAAUAAAUAGAUGAUAAUAGUAAAACAAACAAACAAACAAACAGUGGUUGCCAAUAGAGCCACUCAAAACUUUCAGGAAAUGUGAUGGGGUGUCUGUGAAAUAAGACCACCCCCUGUGUCACACCCAGGUAGUGUGCCAUUCCCCCUGCUUUGGACAUGGUGUGGGUGUCCAGGACUGACUUCUCCAUUGUCAUCACUGGUGCACUGGCUACCAUGGUCCCCUGUCAAGUGAGAUGUGGGGCCUGGCUCACGCUUAAGGGCUGAAGUGGAUGUCCAGCUGUGGGAGGUGGAGGAGCAGAAAGCAGAAGGAAGUGAGGAUUGUGCAGAGGAUUAAACAGCCAAGAAAAAGUCGGGGUAUAAACUGAUUGGAAGCGACCUACAGCAAAGGGCAAGAGAAAAAAAAAAAAAAUAGAUAAAGGGAAUCAAGGAUAACUCUGAGAGGAAACUGAAGAUGAAAAGAUCAAGUCUGCUGAACACAGAAUUGCAUUCUGGUCACGCACAGCACCAUUUCUCAGGUGGGUUAGCUAGUGCCAGGGACAAAGCUUUUACUCCCUGCUGCAAGGUGUAAGGUGGCAAAGGUUACAGCUACACAGUAAAGAUGCAUGCAUGACACUGGUUUCUAAACCAAGGGGUUUUGCUACCUGAAAGGGCUGUAUUGCUUUAAAAAUUCAGUAUAUUCAGUCUUGUUUUUAAAACAGGAUUUAAAUGCAACCAGAUUACAGUAAAAAUAGUUACAAUGAAUUAUCAUUUUUCUAGAGAGGGAUGGUGCAAUGGAGGAAAGAAAAAAUGCAGUGAUUGCUGCCCCGAGGAUGGCAAUGCCUGACAGCUCUAUGUGUCCCAGUUGCUGGCAAGAUACCCCGGUAACAUCAGAAG